GCGCGAGUGGCGGAACGGCAGACGCGCCAGGUUUAGGUCCUGGUGGGCUCUACGCCCUUGGGGGUUCGAGUCCCCCCUCGCGCACGA
Molecule: transfer RNA, 87 nt
Filed under: Actinobacteria bacterium QS_8_72_14
Lineage: Bacteria; Bacillati; Actinomycetota
Description: tRNA-Leu
Rfam family: tRNA
About the family: Transfer RNA (tRNA) molecules are approximately 80 nucleotides in length. Their secondary structure includes four short double-helical elements and three loops (D, anti-codon, and T loops).
Source: RNAcentral